CUCUCGGCGGCGGCGCUAAGAUGGCGGGUGUGCAUUUGUGCGAGUGUCUUGACUGUCCUUCUGAAUCCAUCGCCAUCCUCCAUCCCAGAGUCUCAGAGCAAGCAGCAGAGAGUUGGAUGCGACUGCCACGACUCCGUUCCGUAAGGCCUCACCAAGAUGUGGCUGAAAAAUAUUUGUGUUUAGAAACCUUUAGCUGAACUGAUGGUGUGCUUUCUCUUCCUGUUCAGGGAGGGGGGUUUUGUGCAGGAGGAUGGAUGGCAGCAGAACCAGUUUUAAAAAAAAGAUUGGAAUCUGAAACUGACUCGUGCAAUGAGCACUAAUCCUGACAGCAUCACAGUGUCACAGAUUGGAAACUGAAACUGACUCGUGCAAUGAGCACUAAUCCUGACAGCAUCGCAGUGUCACAGACUGGAAUCUGAAACUGACUCGUGCAAUGAGCACUAAUCCUGACGGCAUCGCAGUGUCACAGACUGGAAUCUGAAACUGACUCGUGCAAUGAGCACUAAUCCUGACAGCAUCGCAGUUUCACAGUUUGGAAACUGAAACUGACUCGUGCAUUGAGCACUAAUACUGACAGCAUCGCAGUGUCACAGAUUGGAAACUGAAACUGACUCGUGCAAUGAGCACUAAUCCUGACAGCAUCGCAGUGUCACAGAUUGGAAACUGAAACUGACUCGUGCAAUGGGCACUAAUCCUGACGGCAUCGCAGUGUCACAGGUACGAUUCUUACCUUGUGUUCAGUCUGACCAAGAGCUCGUCGCCACCGUGCCUGCUGUUGCCCCAUGAGCAUGUAUGGCCAAUGAUGUGGCUCAAGAGGAACACACAAGCCCAGGCUAGGAAGCAAUUGGAAACUGAAACUGACUCGUGCAAUGGGCACUAAUCCUGACGGCAUCGCAGUGUCACAGGUACGAUUCUUACCUUGUGUUCAGUCUGACCAAGAGCUCGUCGCCACCGUGCCUGCUCUUGCGCCAUGAGCAUGUAUGGCCAAUGAUGUGGCUCAAGAGGAACACACAAGCCCAGGCUAGGAAGCAAUUGGAAACUGAAACUGACUCGUGCAAUGGGCACUAAUCCUGACGGCAUCGCAGUGUCACAGGUACGAUUCUUACCUUGUGUUCAGUCUGACCAAGAGCUCGUCGCCACCGUGCCUGCUGUUGCCCCAUGAGCAUGUAUGGCCAAUGAUGUGGCUCAAGAGGAACACACAAGCCCAGGCUAGGAAGCAAUUGGAAACUGAAACUGACUCGUGCAAUGGGCACUAAUCCUGACGGCAUCGCAGUGUCACAGGUACGAUUCUUACCUUGUGUUCAGUCUGACCAAGAGCUCGUCGCCACCGUGCCUGCUGUUGCCCCAUGAGCAUGUAUGGCCAAUGAUGUGGCUCAAGAGGAACACACAAGCCCAGGCUAGGAAGCAAUUGGAAACUGAAACUGACUCGUGCAAUGGGCACUAAUCCUGACGGCAUCGCAGUGUCACAGGUACGAUUCUUACCUUGUGUUCAGUCUGACCAAGAGCUCGUCGCCACCGUGCCUGCUGUUGCCCCAUGAGCAUGUAUGGCCAAUGAUGUGGCUCAAGAGGAACACACAAGCCCAGGCUAGGAAGCAAUUGGAAACUGAAACUGACUCGUGCAAUGAGCACUAAUCCUGACAGCAUCGCAGUGUCACAGAUUGGAAACUGAAACUGACUCGUGCAAUGGGCACUAAUCCUGACGGCAUCGCAGUGUCACAGAUUGGAAACUGAAACUGACUCGUGCAAUGAGCACUAAUCCUGACAGCAUCGCAGUGUCACAGAUUGGAAACUGAAACUGACUCGUGCAAUGGGCACUAAUCCUGACGGCAUCGCAGUGUCACAGGUACGAUUCUUACCUUGUGUUCAGUCUGACCAAGAGCUCGUCGCCACCGUGCCUGCUGUUGCCCCAUGAGCAUGUAUGGCCAAUGAUGUGGCUCAAGAGGAACACACAAGCCCAGGCUAGGAAGCAAUUGGAAACUGAAACUGACUCGUGCAAUGGGCACUAAUCCUGACGGCAUCGCAGUGUCACAGGUACGAUUCUUACCUUGUGUUCAGUCUGACCAAGAGCUCGUCGCCACCGUGCCUGCUGUUGCCCCAUGAGCAUGUAUGGCCAAUGAUGUGGCUCAAGAGGAACACACAAGCCCAGGCUAGGAAGCAAUUGGAAACUGAAACUGACUCGUGCAAUGAGCACUAAUCCUGACGGCAUCGCAGUGUCACAGAUUGGAAACUGAAACUGACUCGUGCAAUGAGCACUAAUUCUGACAGCAUCGCAGUGUCACAGAUUGGAAACUGAAACUGACUCGUGCAAUGAGCACUAAUCCUGACGGCAUCGCAGUGUCACAGAUUGGAAACUGAAACUGACUCGUGCAAUGAGCACUAAUCCUGACAGCAUCGCAGUGUCACAGAUUGGAAACUGAAACUGACUCGUGCAAUGGGCACUAAUCCUGACGGCAUCGCAGUGUCACAGGUACGAUUCUUACCUUGUGUUCAGUCUGACCAAGAGCUCGUCGCCACCGUGCCUGCUGUUGCCCCAUGAGCAUGUAUGGCCAAUGAUGUGGCUCAAGAGGAACACACAAGCCCAGGCUAGGAAGCAAUUGGAAACUGAAACUGACUCGUGCAAUGAGCACUAAUCCUGACGGCAUCGCAGUGUCACAGAUUGGAAACUGAAACUGACUCGUGCAAUGAGCACUAAUUCUGACAGCAUCGCAGUGUCACAGAUUGGAAACUGAAACUGACUCGUGCAAUGAGCACUAAUCCUGACGGCAUCGCAGUGUCACAGAUUGGAAACUGAAACUGACUCGUGCAAUGAGCACUAAUCCUGACAGCAUCGCAGUGUCACAGAUUGGAAACUGAAACUGACUCGUGCAAUGAGCACUAAUUCUGACAGCAUCGCAGUGUCACAGGUACGAUUCUUACCUUGUGUUCAGUCUGACCAAGAGCUCGUCGCCACCGUGCCUGCUCUUGCCCCAUGAGCAUGUAUGGCCAAUGAUGUGGCUCAAGAAGAACACACAAGCCCAGGCUAGGAAGCAAUUGGAAACUGAAACUGACUCGUGCAAUGAGCACUAAUCCUGACGGCAUCGCAGUGUCACAGAUUGGAAACUGAAACUGACUCGUGCAAUGAGCACUAAUCCUGACAGCAUCGCAGUGUCACAGAUUGGAAACUGAAACUGACUCGUGCAAUGGGCACUAAUCCUGACGGCAUCGCAGUGUCACAGGUACGAUUCUUACCUUGUGUUCAGUCUGACCAAGAGCUCGUCGCCACCGUGCCUGCUGUUGCCCCAUGAGCAUGUAUGGCCAAUGAUGUGGCUCAAGAGGAACACACAAGCCCAGGCUAGGAAGCAAUUGGAAACUGAAACUGACUCGUGCAAUGGGCACUAAUCCUGACGGCAUCGCAGUGUCACAGGUACGAUUCUUACCUUGUGUUCAGUCUGACCAAGAGCUCGUCGCCACCGUGCCUGCUGUUGCCCCAUGAGCAUGUAUGGCCAAUGAUGUGGCUCAAGAGGAACACACAAGCCCAGGCUAGGAAGCAAUUGGAAACUGAAACUGACUCGUGCAAUGAGCACUAAUCCUGACGGCAUCGCAGUGUCACAGAUUGGAAACUGAAACUGACUCGUGCAAUGAGCACUAAUCCUGACAGCAUCGCAGUGUCACAGAUUGGAAACUGAAACUGACUCGUGCAAUGGGCACUAAUCCUGACGGCAUCGCAGUGUCACAGGUACGAUUCUUACCUUGUGUUCAGUCUGACCAAGAGCUCGUCGCCACCGUGCCUGCUGUUGCCCCAUGAGCAUGUAUGGCCAAUGAUGUGGCUCAAGAGGAACACACAAGCCCAGGCUAGGAAGCAAUUGGAAACUGAAACUGACUCGUGCAAUGGGCACUAAUCCUGACGGCAUCGCAGUGUCACAGGUACGAUUCUUACCUUGUGUUCAGUCUGACCAAGAGCUCGUCGCCACCGUGCCUGCUGUUGCCCCAUGAGCAUGUAUGGCCAAUGAUGUGGCUCAAGAGGAACACACAAGCCCAGGCUAGGAAGCAAUUGGAAACUGAAACUGACUCGUGCAAUGGGCACUAAUCCUGACGGCAUCGCAGUGUCACAGGUACGAUUCUUACCUUGUGUUCAGUCUGACCAAGAGCUCGUCGCCACCGUGCCUGCUGUUGCCCCAUGAGCAUGUAUGGCCAAUGAUGUGGCUCAAGAGGAACACACAAGCCCAGGCUAGGAAGCAAUUGGAAACUGAAACUGACUCGUGCAAUGGGCACUAAUCCUGACGGCAUCGCAGUGUCACAGGUACGAUUCUUACCUUGUGUUCAGUCUGACCAAGAGCUCGUCGCCACCGUGCCUGCUGUUGCCCCAUGAGCAUGUAUGGCCAAUGAUGUGGCUCAAGAGGAACACACAAGCCCAGGCUAGGAAGCAAUUGGAAACUGAAACUGACUCGUGCAAUGAGCACUAAUCCUGACAGCAUCGCAGUGUCACAAGUACGAUUCUUACCUUGUGUUCAGUCUGACCAAGAGCUCGUCGCCACCGUGCCUGCUCUUGCCCCAUGAGCAUGUAUGGCCAAUGAUGUGGCUCAAGAAGAACACACAAGCCCAGGCUAGGAAGCAAUUGGAAACUGAAACUGACUCGUGCAAUGAGCACUAAUCCUGACAGCAUCGCAGUGUCACAGAUUGGAAACUGAAACUGACUCGUGCAAUGGGCACUAAUCCUGACGGCAUCGCAGUGUCACAGAUUGGAAACUGAAACUGACUCGUGCAAUGAGCACUAAUCCUGACAGCAUCGCAGUGUCACAGAUUGGAAACUGAAACUGACUCGUGCAAUGAGCACUAAUCCUGACAGCAUCGCAGUGUCACAGGUACGAUUCUUACCUUGUGUUCAGUCUGACCAAGAGCUCGUCGCCACCGUGCCUGCUGUUGCCCCAUGAGCAUGUAUGGCCAAUGAUGUGGCUCAAGAGGAACACACAAGCCCAGGCUAGGAAGCAAUUGGAAACUGAAACUGACUCGUGCAAUGAGCACUAAUCCUGACAGCAUCGCAGUGUCACAGAUUGGAAACUGAAACUGACUCGUGCAAUGAGCACUAAUCCUGACAGCAUCGCAGUGUCACAGGUACGAUUCUUACCUUGUGUUCAGUCUGACCAAGAGCUCGUCGCCACCGUGCCUGCUGUUGCCCCAUGAGCAUGUAUGGCCAAUGAUGUGGCUCAAGAAGAACACACAAGCCCAGGCUAGGAAGCAAUUGGAAACUGAAACUGACUCGUGCAAUGAGCACUAAUCCUGACAGCAUCGCAGUGUCACAGAUUGGAAACUGAAACUGACUCGUGCAAUGAGCACUAAUCCUGACAGCAUCGCAGUGUCACAGAUUGGAAACUGAAACUGACUCGUGCAAUGGGCACUAAUCCUGACGGCAUCGCAGUGUCACAGGUACGAUUCUUACCUUGUGUUCAGUCUGACCAAGAGCUCGUCGCCACCGUGCCUGCUGUUGCCCCAUGAGCAUGUAUGGCCAAUGAUGUGGCUCAAGAGGAACACACAAGCCCAGGCUAGGAAGCAAUUGGAAACUGAAACUGACUCGUGCAAUGAGCACUAAUCCUGACAGCAUCGCAGUGUCACAAGUACGAUUCUUACCUUGUGUUCAGUCUGACCAAGAGCUCGUCGCCACCGUGCCUGCUCUUGCCCCAUGAGCAUGUAUGGCCAAUGAUGUGGCUCAAGAAGAACACACAAGCCCAGGCUAGGAAGCAAUUGGAAACUGAAACUGACUCGUGCAAUGAGCACUAAUCCUGACAGCAUCGCAGUGUCACAGAUUGGAAACUGAAACUGACUCGUGCAAUGGGCACUAAUCCUGACGGCAUCGCAGUGUCACAGAUUGGAAACUGAAACUGACUCGUGCAAUGAGCACUAAUCCUGACAGCAUCGCAGUGUCACAGAUUGGAAACUGAAACUGACUCGUGCAAUGAGCACUAAUCCUGACAGCAUCGCAGUGUCACAGGUACGAUUCUUACCUUGUGUUCAGUCUGACCAAGAGCUCGUCGCCACCGUGCCUGCUGUUGCCCCAUGAGCAUGUAUGGCCAAUGAUGUGGCUCAAGAGGAACACACAAGCCCAGGCUAGGAAGCAAUUGGAAACUGAAACUGACUCGUGCAAUGAGCACUAAUCCUGACAGCAUCGCAGUGUCACAGGUACGAUUCUUACCUUGUGUUCAGUCUGACCAAGAGCUCGUCGCCACCGUGCCUGCUGUUGCCCCAUGAGCAUGUAUGGCCAAUGAUGUGGCUCAAGAGGAACACACAAGCCCAGGCUAGGAAGCAAUUGGAAACUGAAACUGACUCGUGCAAUGAGCACUAAUCCUGACAGCAUCGCAGUGUCACAGGUACGAUUCUUACCUUGUGUUCAGUCUGACCAAGAGCUCGUCGCCACCGUGCCUGCUGUUGCCCCAUGAGCAUGUAUGGCCAAUGAUGUGGCUCAAGAAGAACACACAAGCCCAGGCUAGGAAGCAAUUGGAAACUGAAACUGACUCGUGCAAUGAGCACUAAUCCUGACAGCAUCGCAGUGUCACAGAUUGGAAACUGAAACUGACUCGUGCAAUGAGCACUAAUCCUGACAGCAUCGCAGUGUCACAGAUUGGAAACUGAAACUGACUCGUGCAAUGGGCACUAAUCCUGACGGCAUCGCAGUGUCACAGGUACGAUUCUUACCUUGUGUUCAGUCUGACCAAGAGCUCGUCGCCACCGUGCCUGCUGUUGCCCCAUGAGCAUGUAUGGCCAAUGAUGUGGCUCAAGAGGAACACACAAGCCCAGGCUAGGAAGCAAUUGGAAACUGAAACUGACUCGUGCAAUGAGCACUAAUCCUGACAGCAUCGCAGUGUCACAAGUACGAUUCUUACCUUGUGUUCAGUCUGACCAAGAGCUCGUCGCCACCGUGCCUGCUCUUGCCCCAUGAGCAUGUAUGGCCAAUGAUGUGGCUCAAGAAGAACACACAAGCCCAGGCUAGGAAGCAAUUGGAAACUGAAACUGACUCGUGCAAUGAGCACUAAUCCUGACAGCAUCGCAGUGUCACAGAUUGGAAACUGAAACUGACUCGUGCAAUGGGCACUAAUCCUGACGGCAUCGCAGUGUCACAGAUUGGAAACUGAAACUGACUCGUGCAAUGAGCACUAAUCCUGACAGCAUCGCAGUGUCACAGAUUGGAAACUGAAACUGACUCGUGCAAUGAGCACUAAUCCUGACAGCAUCGCAGUGUCACAGGUACGAUUCUUACCUUGUGUUCAGUCUGACCAAGAGCUCGUCGCCACCGUGCCUGCUGUUGCCCCAUGAGCAUGUAUGGCCAAUGAUGUGGCUCAAGAGGAACACACAAGCCCAGGCUAGGAAGCAAUUGGAAACUGAAACUGACUCGUGCAAUGAGCACUAAUCCUGACAGCAUCGCAGUGUCACAGGUACGAUUCUUACCUUGUGUUCAGUCUGACCAAGAGCUCGUCGCCACCGUGCCUGCUGUUGCCCCAUGAGCAUGUAUGGCCAAUGAUGUGGCUCAAGAGGAACACACAAGCCCAGGCUAGGAAGCAAUUGGAAACUGAAACUGACUCGUGCAAUGAGCACUAAUCCUGACAGCAUCGCAGUGUCACAGGUACGAUUCUUACCUUGUGUUCAGUCUGACCAAGAGCUCGUCGCCACCGUGCCUGCUGUUGCCCCAUGAGCAUGUAUGGCCAAUGAUGUGGCUCAAGAAGAACACACAAGCCCAGGCUAGGAAGCAAUUGGAAACUGAAACUGACUCGUGCAAUGAGCACUAAUCCUGACAGCAUCGCAGUGUCACAGGUACGAUUCUUACCUUGUGUUCAGUCUGACCAAGAGCUCGUCGCCACCGUGCCUGCUGUUGCCCCAUGAGCAUGUAUGGCCAAUGAUGUGGCUCAAGAGGAACACACAAGCCCAGGCUAGGAAGCAAUUGGAAACUGAAACUGACUCGUGCAAUGAGCACUAAUCCUGACAGCAUCGCAGUGUCACAGGUGGAAUCUGAAACUGACUCGUGCAAUGAGCACUAAUCCUGACAGCCCCGCAGUGUCACAGGUGGAAUCUGAAACUGACUCGUGCAAUGAGCACUAAUCCUGACAGCCCCGCAGUGUCACAGGUGGAAUCUGAAACUGACUCGUGCAAUGAGCACUAAUCCUGACAGCCCCGCAGUGUCACAGGUGGAAUCUGAAACUGACUCGUGCAAUGAGCACUAAUCCUGACAGCCCCGCAGUGUCACAGACUGGAAUCUGAAACUGACUCGUGCAAUGAGCGCUAAUCCUGACAGCAUCGCAGUGUCACAGAUUGGAAUCUGAAACUGACUCGUGCAAUGAGCACUAAUCCUGACAGCAUCGCAGUGUCACAGAUUGGAAACUGAAACUGACUCGUGCAAUGAGCACUAAUCCUGACAGCAUCGCAGUGUCACAGAUUGGAAACUGAAACUGACUCGUGCAAUGGGCACUAAUCCUGACAGCAUCGCAGUGUCACAGAUUGGAAUCUGAAACUGACUCGUGCAAUGAGCACUAAUCCUGACAGCGUCGCAGUGUCUGUACCCGUGCUGUACCUGCCCUGGGAAUUUAGGGGUUUUCUGCCUGCUUAUUGGCUUCUGACUACUUGCAUUUCAAUAGUUUCUGCUCUUCAGAAUGUAUUUCGUUGGCUGGAAUGUGGUUCGGGAUGUCCUGAGGUUGUGACCUGCACAAUCUAAAUGCAAGUUAUCUUCUGCCCAUACAGACUUCUCUCGUUGGAUUAAGGCAGAAUUGGAAUGGGAUCAAGUUCCAGCCGAGUUUCUGGAAAAUCCUGCAAGCGAAUUCCACCUCCCUGGAUCACACUUAAUCUGUUCAUUGUCUGUUUCCCAACUUGUUGAAUUACUUAUUGAUUAAAAUCUGGUGAAGAAUUCUAUUUUAA
Carcharodon carcharias (great white shark) is the source of this 8874-nucleotide long non-coding RNA. RefSeq lists it as uncharacterized. The transcript is spliced from 75 exons. The record is from RefSeq and is a predicted model, not a curated record. NCBI's taxonomy places the organism in Eukaryota, Metazoa, Chordata, Chondrichthyes, Lamniformes, Lamnidae.